RNAcentral lists this transfer RNA (76 nucleotides) under Camelus bactrianus (Bactrian camel). It matches the Rfam family "tRNA". Rfam says of the family: Transfer RNA (tRNA) molecules are approximately 80 nucleotides in length. The record is from Rfam by way of RNAcentral. Lineage: Eukaryota; Metazoa; Chordata; Mammalia; Artiodactyla; Camelidae. RNAcentral also lists the same sequence under 2 other names.
GAGGGUCUAGCUCAGCGAUAGAGUGCAUGCCUAGCAUGCAUGAGGUCCUGGGUUCAUUCAAUCCCCAGUACCUCCA